Gadus morhua (Atlantic cod) is the source of this 2105-nucleotide RNA transcript. It is a transcript of the gene named pollen-specific leucine-rich repeat extensin-like protein 2, with no coding region annotated. The record is from RefSeq and is a predicted model, not a curated record. Lineage: Eukaryota; Metazoa; Chordata; Actinopteri; Gadiformes; Gadidae. The transcript has 6 exons.
ACAAGGAAGUCCUCGUCUCGUCUAGCUGUGGGAUUUACCGCGAAGUUUAAUACCAAACCACACAUGGCGGACAAAUACCCUAAAUCUAAGCUGAAGAGAAAGAAAUCCGCUGUGAUCGAGCCUCAAGGGGACAGAUACAAAAAAGAUUCUUUGAAGUUUAGUAUACCGUUCAAUUCCCCUGAUCUUACCAAAGAAGUAAAGACUGACAGUAGCAAAGGAAAUAGGGGAACAGUGUCUCCAACCCUACCAUGGUGGACUCGAAACGAUCUGAAUUCGUCAGAAAAGCUAUGGGCCAGCGCAAUAGAGACAGUUCUCCCUUUCCUGGGUUCUGAGCACUGGGACCCCCUCCCAGAACCCUCCGCAGCGACUUCCAGGCAGAGCGAACGCCAGCCACCCACUCCAGCCAAUGAAGUCCCCCCUUUCCCUGAACCCUCCAGACCCCCAGGAUCCCCUCUCCGAAGUCCCCCCCGACCCCUCGAUACCCACUCCCCAGCGCAACCCGUCGAACCCUCACCCCCCGCUAGUCCUCCGGUGACCCCUCCUCAGGGCGGAGGAGGAGGUGGGCUCCAGGUCCCAGAGACCACAGCGGCCAGUCCCUCCUCCCUGGUGGUCUAUUCACCACCAGGGAGGAGGGAGGACUCGAGACCAGCCCCGACCCAGAAGGAGGUCCCGGCAGGCAGAGAGUCGGUCCCUGAGAAGACGCGGCGAACGGGGGAUCUCGCUGGCAGGCCGGUACGGCCGUUCCCGCUUUGGAGCGGGUCCACCGCCAGAGCUUGUGAGCCCCCCCCGGUGGUGCCCCCCUUUUCAGGGGAGCACCUGGCAGAGAGGGGGGAGACGAUGAGGGGGGUGCAGGAGGCCAUGUUGGAUGAGAGGGUGGAGGAGGCGGGACCAUCUGGGGCUCAGCGACAGGGUGGCGGCAAGGGGGAUGGACCGAAGGAGGCGGAGCUAGGAGAAGGAGGGCGAGAACGAACCCAGUGUUGCCCCAUGUGUACGCUGGUGUUCCCAAGCAGGUUCAGCCAGAUGGACUGUGACAGCCACCUGGCCCAGUGUCUGUCCGAGAUGAACGUCGACAUGGCCUGGUGAGAGUGGCUAUUGGAUGGGGUGGGGGGUUGGCCCUGGCCCUCCCCCAACCUAUAGGGUUGGCCCUGGAACGCUCCAAACCAAUCAGCCGUCAGGAACAUGAGACGGGAGAUAAACAGCGUGUCAGGUGUGCGGGCCCCCGGGAGCCCCUCGGAGAGAGACGCAGCCGGCUUGAAGGGCAGAGCGAGCAACGGGGCCGACGCUGUCAUUGACGUCGGCCCCCCCCCCCCUAACAACUCUCUACACUCUCUACUGCACCCCUUUCAGGCUGUGGGGGUCUCACCUGCUCCCAGUCGAUGGUGCGGAAGAAGGUGUGAGACUUGAUGUCCGUGAAGCCCGUCUCCACCUGGCACCCCAGCCGCUCCUUGGGGUCCUGGGGAGGAGACGCAGGUCAUGUGACCACCCUGGUUCCAUUGUCUGUGUGAUCUUCAAACCUUUGGCUGGAUUCACACGUGUGGUUUUCUGUCUGGAUCUAAUGUUCGCUGUAUGCCACUUGGGAUAAAACCGUCUGCUAAAGGGAAUGUUGAAUAGUAGAUUGUCUUUAUUAGCAUUGUGCGAGCCAAUAGUGUAGUGCUAGACACACUGUGUUUUUCAUCGUCUUUCAAGCACAACAUGAAUCUCUUGUGUUGGUUUGUAUUCAUGGUUCACACCCUCAUGUGGGAAAUCAGUCAGUAUGGGAAAUAUAUACAUGAAGAGAACAUGCUUAUUAAUUGUAUAAAUGAUUAAAGCCUGGAUUUAAUCAUUUAAAAAAACUUGUAAAAAGAAAACUUGUAAUAGCACAAAGUUUAAUUAUUAUUUUGUUUUAAUCAGCUGGAAGAUAAAGGAAAUCUGCUAUUUUAGUUUUUUUUUAUAAUGAUGUGAAUUAUUUAAUUCAUAUAUAUUUUUUCUAUAUCACAUCGAGUUUUUGAAUGAACAAUAAUUGGCAAUAAGGGUGAGGUACAGCCUUACUAAAACAAUAUCACAAAUACACAAAAUGCUACUAAAGUCAUUAAAUAAUCAUAAUAAGCACUGCAUGAAAUAAUGAA